This 206-nucleotide microRNA precursor is filed under the name Oryza brachyantha (malo sina). Its description in RNAcentral is "MIR812 microRNA precursor family". It matches the Rfam family "MIR812 microRNA precursor family". The record is from Rfam by way of RNAcentral. Lineage: Eukaryota; Viridiplantae; Streptophyta; Magnoliopsida; Poales; Poaceae.
AAUAAACCAAUUUUUCACUUUUUAGCUACAAUGUAUGACGCUUCGUUUUAUUCAAAAAUAUUUACGAUUAAUAUUUUUAUUUUUAUUAGAUGAUAAAUCAUGAACAGUACUUUAUGUGUGACUAAUUUCUUUUAGUUUCUUAAAUUUUUUUCAAAUAAGACGGAUGGUCAAACGUUAGACACAGGUAGUCAAAAGUUUGUCUUAUU